CUCCACUCCUCGCAUGGCAGCCAAUCGGUGAAGCUCUAGGCAGCUCUUGUCCCUCCUUAGUACCAGCUCCCAAGUUUUCAGUCUCUUGCUUCUACAGCCGAACAGAGCAGACGGACUAAAACUUUUGUUAUCGAGCGAAACCGGAAGGUUUACUGAGCUGUGGCUCCACGUAAAUGCUGAGCAUCCACUCGACGGCGGUCAGGUUUUUAUAUGGGACGAAUCCAAAGACCAGGUCAGCGAUUCCAGAACCCAGAGUGUUCCAGUGUUCACUGGAUGGCGAGCCAACCCAAGAUCCUAGGAGACGAUAUACAUAUACACGCACACUCAUUUGCACAUUGAUGGACUACAAUCCUCUACUGUAGGACAGACAAUCACACACACACUCCUUGUC
This is a long non-coding RNA of Haplochromis burtoni (Burton's mouthbrooder), 391 nucleotides long. RefSeq lists it as uncharacterized. The record is from RefSeq and is a predicted model, not a curated record. NCBI's taxonomy places the organism in Eukaryota, Metazoa, Chordata, Actinopteri, Cichliformes, Cichlidae. The transcript has 3 exons.